Long non-coding RNA from Triticum aestivum (bread wheat), 328 nucleotides. RefSeq lists it as uncharacterized. Lineage: Eukaryota; Viridiplantae; Streptophyta; Magnoliopsida; Poales; Poaceae. The transcript is spliced from 2 exons. The record is from RefSeq and is a predicted model, not a curated record.
GGCUGCAGCAAAGAAUAGGAUGCGUUUUACACAUAUUGCAGUCUGAUAGUGCCAUGUCCAAUACAUACAAUUAAUCAUUCGGGACCUGAUCUCGCGGAAGACGGGUGACCACUUUGCUGCCACAAGUCUCCUUCACACCGUGUAGCCCGCAAACAUGUCUCGAAGCAUUUGCCGAUCAAAUUUAUGUUUUAAUGAACCGUUACUUUCGUUGAUCGAACAUCUCGUAUUUUCCAUUUGGACCGUGGCAUGUAUGCAUGUAACAUUUUCAUUUUGAACAGUUGAUAGUACAUGCAACAGAUUAUAUGAGCCUUUUUGUUAUUUUGCGUAA